GGGUGAGUAACACGUGGGCAACCUGCCCUGCAGAUCGGGAUAACUCCGGGAAACCGGUGCUAAUACCGAAUAGUUUGCGGCCUCUCCUGAGGCUGUACGGAAAGACGGUUUCGGCUGUCACUGCAGGAUGGGCCCGCGGCGCAUUAGCUAGUUGGUGGGGUAAUGGCCUACCAAGGCGACGAUGCGUAGCCGACCUGAGAGGGUGAUCGGCCACACUGGGACUGAAACACGGCCCAGACUCCUACGGGAGGCAGCAGUAGGGAAUCUUCCGCAAUGGACGAAAGUCUGACGGAACAACGCCGCGUGAGUGACGAAGGUUUUCGGAUCGUAAAACUCUGUUGUGAGGGAAGAACAAGUACCAAGUAACUACUGGUACCUUGACGGUACCUCACCAGAAAGCCACGGCUAACUACGUGCCAGCAGCCGCGGUAAUACGUAGGUGGCAAGCGUUGUCCGGAAUUAUUGGGCGUAAAGCGCGCGCAGGCGGUUCCUUAAGUCCGAUGUGAAAGCCCACGGCUCAACCGUGGAGGGUCAUUGGAAACUGGGGAACUUGAGUGCAGAAGAAGAAAGUGGAAUUCCAUGUGUAGCGGUGAAAUGCGUAGAGAUGUGGAGGAACACCAGUGGCGAAGGCGACUUUCUGGUCUGUAACUGACGCUGAGGCGCGAAAGCGUGGGGAGCAAACAGGAUUAGAUACCCUGGUAGUCCACGCCGUAAACGAUGAGUGCUAAGUGUUAGGGGGUUUCCGCCCCUUAGUGCUGCAGCUAACGCAUUAAGCACUCCGCCUGGGGAGU
Molecule: ribosomal RNA, 791 nt
Filed under: Planococcus sp. PF67
Lineage: Bacteria; Bacillati; Bacillota; Bacilli; Caryophanales; Caryophanaceae
Also listed under: 1 other name
Description: bacterial SSU rRNA
Rfam family: Bacterial small subunit ribosomal RNA
Source: RNAcentral